GUGGGGAAUAUUGGACAAUGGGCGAAAGCCUGAUCCAGCCAUGCCGCGUGUGUGAAGAAGGUCUUCGGAUUGUAAAGCACUUUAAGUUGGGAGGAAGGGCAGUAAGUUAAUACCUUGCUGUUUUGACGUUACCGACAGAAUAAGCACCGGCUAACUUCGUGCCAGCAGCCGCGGUAAUACGAAGGGUGCAAGUGUUAAUCGGAAUUACUGGGCGUAAAGCGCGCGUAGGUGGUUUUGUAAGUUGGAGGUGAAAUCCCCGGGCUCAACCUGGGAACUGCCUCCAAAACUGCAUGACUAGAGUACGGUAGAGGGUAGUGGAAUUUCCUGUGUAGCGGUGAAAUGCGUAGAUAUAGGAAGGAACACCAGUGGCGAAGGCGACUACCUGGACUGAUACUGACACUGAGGUGCGAAAGCGUGGGGAGCAAACAGGAUUAGAUACCCGUGUAGUCC
RNAcentral lists this ribosomal RNA (450 nucleotides) under uncultured bacterium. RNAcentral describes it as "partial 16S ribosomal RNA". It matches the Rfam family "Bacterial small subunit ribosomal RNA", at positions 354 to 796 of the family's 1533-position model. The record is from RNAcentral.